AUAUGAUAAUGAUGAUGAUGAUGAUGAUGAUGAUUAUGGUGGUGGUCGAUGAAUGCCGGAUCGUCAUCAUAAUCAUCAUCAUUAUCAUCAUCAUCACGC
This 99-nucleotide microRNA precursor is filed under the name Bigelowiella natans CCMP2755. Its description in RNAcentral is "miRNA EPrBNAG00000013384". It matches the Rfam family "mir-598 microRNA precursor family". Lineage: Eukaryota; Cercozoa; Chlorarachniophyceae. The record is from RNAcentral.